This 450-nucleotide ribosomal RNA is filed under the name uncultured bacterium. RNAcentral's name for it is "bacterial SSU rRNA". It matches the Rfam family "Bacterial small subunit ribosomal RNA", at positions 354 to 796 of the family's 1533-position model. The record is from RNAcentral.
GUAGGGAAUCUUCCGCAAUGGACGAAAGUCUGACGGAGCAACGCCGCGUGAGUGAAGAAGGUUUUCGGAUCGUAAAACUCUGUUGUCAGAGAAGAACAAGUUGGAGAGUAACUGCUCCAGCCUUGACGGUAUCUGACCAGAAAGCCACGGCUAACUACGUGCCAGCAGCCGCGGUAAUACGUAGGUGGCAAGCGUUGUCCGGAUUUAUUGGGCGUAAAGCGAGCGCAGGCGGUUCCUUAAGUCUGAUGUGAAAGCCCACGGCUCAACCGUGGAAGGUCAUUGGAAACUGGGGAACUUGAGUGCAGAAGAGGAGAGUGGAAUUCCAUGUGUAGCGGUGAAAUGCGUAGAUAUAUGGAGGAACACCAGUGGCGAAGGCGACUCUCUGGUCUGUAACUGACGCUGAGGCUCGAAAGCGUGGGGAGCAAACAGGAUUAGAAACCCCAGUAGUCC